CACACACCAAGGACCCAGUGAAUAUUUGUUGAAUGAGUGAAUGAUGCUCACACAGCCAUCAAAGAAAGAGAAGCCUCACUAAGAGCUCUAAGGAAAGGUUCCACUCCCCAACCAUUUCUGUACAGCCUGGAAAGUAGUGAAAGCAUAUAAAACCAGCACUGAGGAAACUUACCCAGGAGGUCAGAUGCAAUCUGUCUACCAAGGAUGGAAAAAUGACAAGGCAAGGUGGAAAAAAAGUGGCAUAUGCCUAGACUGUCCCCAGCCUCCUAAAAUGGUGCAAUGCUGCAAAAACAACCAUAAUCCCUCGUUGCUGGGCAAUGGACAGCGUCACAAAUCAAACUCUCUUCGUUUUUGCAUCUACUUAUCUAGCUUAAUGCUGAGACGGUCACAAACAAAGAAGAUAUUCGUUAUAUAAAUGGGGUGGCUAAUGUACUUCAGGAAAUUUUUAGAUCUUACUUGGUGUUUAUGUGUACUUUUUGUGUUUUUAAUGUUGAAAAAGAUACAAAUUAUUUAGAGCUGAAAUUAAAAUUACAUUAAAAAAUUCAAUCUAACCUUAUUACCUUGUGAUAAACAUGAGUCUUAGAAAAACCUCUCUGUUGAUGUUUUCCACAUGAAUGAUUUCUAGCAGAUGACCUCAAGUUAUAAGGUGACAGAUUUAUAAAAUCACAGAAUGGUCUUCUCAUUUUAAGAGAAAAUUUAGAUUGUUGUUUGCUUUUAUUACUCUCCCUAAACUCUGAGGGAACACAAAUUUAAAGAAAACUUUCUCAAUCCAGAUACAUAAUUAGUAUAUUUCCAGUUCUCCUCAAUGUAUGCCUAGUCCUUUAUAGCUGCUAAGAAUACUAUUCAUAGCAUCUUUCAAAAGUAUCAUAAGGCUGUUAUGUCCAUUAUCAAUUAUAAUGGCUAUAUUAUAUAUGACGUAUCAACAUUCAGUCCAAAAGCACUAUUACCUCUGAACAGAUUGUUUUUCUGCAAUUAGGUGCUGUACACUAAGCUAGCUAAGAAAAUAAGCAUUGGCCCCAUGUACCCAGGCUCUACAUAAUAGCAUUGUUGUGAAGGAAAAUGAGCAAAAUGGAUCUAUGAGCACUUUGGGGGAAAAGAAACAAUGGUGCUAUACAUAGACAAAGAAUUAUAAUAAAAAUAAUAACAGCCAUCAGAUCUGACCUAAUGAAAAUUGGACAGCAGAACUAAAAGCAAUUUCAAAAACGCUAAUAACUAUCUUCUUCCUCUUCUUUUUCCUUGGUUCCCAUGGCAAUCCAUAUUUUCAUAUGAGGCCCACAAUUUGGGCCUUUUUUGGGCAAUUAGCCUCCCAUUUGUCCAAUUCUCUUUACCUGACUCUUCAAAAGUCCCCUACCGACUUUCCAUUUAACCAAAUAUCCAAGUCAAUUCAACUAAACAGCUAGUUAGCUCAGUAAAAAUAGUGUAAUUACAUUAAGAUGUGAUCAUUUCAAGAUGAUAUUUAAGAAGUUGGGCAGAAGUGAACUCUUCAAAUGAUAUUAUCAGUAAUAUGAUCAGUUAUGUAAACUAGGAAUGGGUUUCUUUGGGUGCAAAUGGCAACUUUAGGAAAGACAGUUAGGCAGCAUUGGUGCUAAAAGAAGGAAAAUCAACAGAAAUAAGUGCUACAGGAAGAGUAAAGACUUUAUUAUUCUGGUGAUUUUAAAAAAUUAUUUCUAAAAUUAUGAUAUGUAUAUAUGAAAUGUAACUCAUCAUAUGAACUAUAAACUAUUCACUUACACACACUGUAUAGAUAUACAUUUUCUUUCUGCUGCUUUGCUUUACCUAUUCAAACCAG
This 1789-nucleotide long non-coding RNA is filed under the name Homo sapiens (human). RNAcentral's name for it is "HSALNT0286411". The record is from RNAcentral. Lineage: Eukaryota; Metazoa; Chordata; Mammalia; Primates; Hominidae.